RNAcentral lists this ribosomal RNA (750 nucleotides) under Capnodiales sp. PSU-ES20. RNAcentral describes it as "eukaryotic LSU rRNA". The stretch from base 205 to 750 matches the Rfam family "Eukaryotic large subunit ribosomal RNA", at positions 1 to 553 of the family's 3401-position model. Lineage: Eukaryota; Fungi; Ascomycota; Dothideomycetes; Capnodiales. The record is from RNAcentral.
GCACAUUGCGCCCCCUGGUAUUCCGGGGGGCAUGCCUGUUCGAGCGUCAUUUCACCACUCAAGCCUCGCUUGGUAUUGGGCGACGCGGUCCGCCGCGCGCCUCAAAUCGACCGGCUGGGUCUUCUGUCCCCUCAGCGUUGUGGAAACUAUUCGCUAAAGGGUGCCACGGGAGGUCACGCCGUAAAACAAGCCCAUUUCUAAGGUUGACCUCGGAUCAGGUAGGGAUACCCGCUGAACUUAAGCAUAUCAAUAAGCGGAGGAAAAGAAACCAACAGGGAUUGCUCUAGUAACGGCGAGUGAAGCAGCAAUAGCUCAAAUUUGAAAUCUGGCGUCUUCGGCGUCCGAGUUGUAAUUUGUAGAGGAUGCUUCUGGGCAGCCACCGACCUAAGUUCCUUGGAACAGGACGUCAUAGAGGGUGAGAAUCCCGUAUGCGGUCGGAAAGGCACCCUACACGUAGCUCCUUCGACGAGUCGAGUUGUUUGGGAAUGCAGCUCUAAAUGGGAGGUAAAUUUCUUCUAAAGCUAAAUAUUGGCCAGAGACCGAUAGCGCACAAGUAGAGUGAUCGAAAGAUGAAAAGCACUUUGGAAAGAGAGUUAAAAAGCACGUGAAAUUGUUGAAAGGGAAGGGAUUGCAACCAGACUUGCUCGCGGUGUUCCGCCGGUCUUCUGACCGGUUCAUUCGCCGCGUUGCAGGCCAGCAUCGUCUGGUGCCGCUGGAUAAGACUUGAGGAAUGUAGCUCCCUCGGGAGUG